RNAcentral lists this long non-coding RNA (200 nucleotides) under Gossypium barbadense (sea-island cotton). RNAcentral describes it as "long non-coding RNA (GBAR_LNC009413)". The record is from RNAcentral. Lineage: Eukaryota; Viridiplantae; Streptophyta; Magnoliopsida; Malvales; Malvaceae.
GGAGAGGUAAGUCGAGCUUAGACUAUAAAUAAGCGCUUCUCGGGAGGCAACCCGAGCACUAACAAUAUUAAUCUCUUUCAAUUUUGGUAUUUAACUCCUAACUUUUGAAUAGAAAUCUUGAAUACAGGUGUUUCCACAGAGACAUUAAGGCUGUGUGAAAACAGGGCAAAAGAUUUCCCCAACAUGGGCUACGAUUAAAC